This 533-nucleotide small RNA is filed under the name Pongo abelii (Sumatran orangutan). Its description in RNAcentral is "retained intron". The record is from RNAcentral. Lineage: Eukaryota; Metazoa; Chordata; Mammalia; Primates; Hominidae.
ACAAGUUUCCCCAGAACUACAAGAUCUUUGAAAAAAAUAGCAAAGAAAAUAUGCCAUGUUACGCAAACUGUUUUACCUCAGACUCACCUUGAUUUUUAAAAAUAGGUUUUAUUCAUAAAUAUUUAAAAGAAUUUGUAUUGGUGAUUCUUAAUAUUGUUUUCAAUAGGUUCAAUUCCCAUGAAAGUGCAGCACAUGCAAUUGUUUCUGUUAAUGGUACUACCAUUGAAGGUCAUGUUGUGAAAUGCUAUUGGGGCAAAGAAACUCUUGAUAUGAUAAAUCCCGUGCAACAGCAGAAUCAAAUUGGAUAUCCCCAACCUUAUGGCCAGUGGGGCCAGUGGUAUGGAAAUGCACAACAAAUUGGCCAGUAUAUGCCUAAUGGUUGGCAAGUUCCUGCAUAUGGAAUGUAUGGCCAGGCAUGGAACCAGCAAGGAUUUAAUCAGACACAGUCUUCUGCACCAUGGAUGGGACCAAAUUAUGGAGUGCAACCACCUCAAGGGCAAAAUGGCAGCAUGUUGCCCAAUCAGCCUUCUGGG